CCUACGGGAGGCUGCAGUGAGGAAUAUUGGUCAAUGGACGCAAGUCUGAACCAGCCAAGUAGCGUGCAGGAUGACUGCCCUAUGAGUUGUAAACUUCUUUUGUACGAGGGUAAAACCAGGCACGCGUACCUUUUUGAAUGUACUUUAUGAAUAAGGAUCGGCUAACUCCGUGCCAGCAGCCGCGGUAAUACGGAGGAUCCGAGCGUUAUCCGGAUUUAUUGGGUUUAAAGGGUGCGUAGGUGGUUUGUUAAGUCAGUGGUGAAAUUUCGCGGCUCAACCCUAAAAUUGCAUUUGAUACUGACAGUCUUGAGAAUAGUUGAGGUAGGCGGAAUGUGUGGUGUAGUGGUGAAAUGCUUAGAGAUCAUGCAGAACACCGAUUGCGAAGGCAGCUUACCAAACUGUGACUGACAUUGAGGCUCGAAAGCGUGGGUAGCAAACAGGAUUAGAUACCCUUGUAGUC
Molecule: ribosomal RNA, 460 nt
Filed under: uncultured bacterium
Lineage: Bacteria
Description: partial 16S ribosomal RNA
Rfam family: Bacterial small subunit ribosomal RNA
Source: RNAcentral